This 480-nucleotide ribosomal RNA is filed under the name uncultured bacterium. RNAcentral describes it as "partial 16S ribosomal RNA". It matches the Rfam family "Bacterial small subunit ribosomal RNA", at positions 28 to 507 of the family's 1533-position model. The record is from RNAcentral.
GACGAACGCUGGCGGCGUGCUUAACACAUGCAAGUCGAACGAUGAAGAAAAGAAUCGAAGCUUCGGCAGAAAUUCAUUUCGGAUUAGUGGCAGACGGGUGAGUAACGCGUGAGCAACCUACCUCUUACAAAGGGAUAGCCUCGGGAAACCGGGAUUAAUACCAUAUAAUAUUGUGACGAAGCAUUUCGAUGCAAUCAAAGCUACGGCGGUAAGAGAUGGGCUCGCGUCCCAUUAACCGGAUGGUGAGGUAACGGCUCACCAUAGUGACGAUGGGUAACCGGCCUGAGAGGGUGAACGGUCACACUGGAACUGAGACACGGUCCAGACUCCUACGGGAGGCAGCAGUGGGGAAUAUUGCACAAUGGAGGGAACUCUGAUGCAGCGACGCCGCGUGAGUGAUGAAGGAAUUCGUUUCGUAAAACUCUGUUCUAUGGGAAGAAAAGGACUGUACCAUAGGAGAAAGCUCCGGCUAAAUACGUG